ACUAUGGCAUGGACCCUCAUCCUCGAGCCCCACUACUCAGAGGAGCUGGGAAGAAUUUCCACCCUUCCUAGUGGCAAGUCUCACUGUGAGAGCGGAGUGCCACCAGGCAAACAGGGCAGAAAGACUGCUUUAAGGAGAAUCCUUAUAUUGGGGGUUAUGAAGUGCAAUACACCCUCAUCCUCACGCUAACACUGGUACCAUGUAGCCCAAGCUUGUCUAACCUGCAGCCCGCGGGCUGUGUAUGGCCCAGGACAGCUCUGAAUGUGGCCCAACGCAAAUUUGUAAACUUUCUAAAACAUUAUGAGAUUUUUUUUUCUCAUCAGCUAUCAUCAGUGUGAGUGUAUGUUAUUUGUGACUCAAGACAAUCCUUCUUUUCCAAUGUGGCCCAGAGAAGCCAAAAGACUGGACACCCCUGAUGUGGCCCUUUCAUCCAUAGUAGCCUAUUUUGUCCUAAAGACGGUCUUGUGCAGUGAGUAGGCCAGGCCUCCCCACUACCACAGUUUACAGGCAAGGAAUGUGAUAUUUCAUAGGAUGACCCUGACUGGCACCUACAUUGCUAGCCAAAGAAUGGCACAAAGAUGUGGACAGAAGAGACAACCUUAAGCAGCUGACUGCUGGCUCCUGCAACAGUAUCAUCAUGGCAUUUGUCCUGGGGUCCCAAGGAAAGAAAACAAAUCUGUGGCUGAGGAACAGACUGAGUUGACAAAGCAGCUUCCACAGUAACACAAGGACAAAGGGUGUAUGUAGAUAUGCACGUGGUAGCAGGUUCUACUAAAGGAACCUGGACCGACCAUUCUAGUAUAUCGUGUAAAGAAAAGCCUUCCAAGGAGAAGCUUUGGGAAGCACUUCUGUAAUGAAUUACAUUGAGAUCUUCAGAGGACAGAAACUUAAUCUCGAGUUAGAGACAUGCUGUCAUUACCAAAACCACGUAUAGAGCAUCUCUCCUCAGUCAGACAAGAACCAAAGGCAACUGACGUGACUGCUCUCUCCUUGGAAGGACGGCAGGAGCCAUGGCGCUGUGAACUCAAACUUCAGGGAGCUUCAGACCCUCCUGCUUGUGACCAUACCCAUGCCUGGGCUCUUGACUAUUUAAAUGUGUUUUGAAAACAACUCUCAUUAUAGAAAUGAAAAGCCUGAAGCUUUCUCAGCAAAAAAGGUUUAACUGAUGAUACUCUACAAAGAAUAAAUACAUCAAUCUAAUUGAACCAACCAAA
RNAcentral lists this long non-coding RNA (1214 nucleotides) under Homo sapiens (human). RNAcentral's name for it is "long intergenic non-protein coding RNA 1890". The record is from RNAcentral. Lineage: Eukaryota; Metazoa; Chordata; Mammalia; Primates; Hominidae.